Molecule: ribosomal RNA, 982 nt
Filed under: Pseudomonas putida
Lineage: Bacteria; Pseudomonadati; Pseudomonadota; Gammaproteobacteria; Pseudomonadales; Pseudomonadaceae
Description: partial 16S ribosomal RNA
Rfam family: Bacterial small subunit ribosomal RNA
Source: RNAcentral
CGAUUACUGCCUAGUGAAUCUGCCGGGCAGUGGGGGACAACGUUUCAAAAGGAACGCUAAUACCGACAUACGUCUCUACGGGUAGAAAGCAGGGGACCUUCGGGCCUUGCGCUAACUAUGAGCCUAUGUCGGAUUAUCUAUCUGGUGGGGUAAUGGCUCACCCUCGCGACGAUCCGUUAGCUGGUCUGANGAGGAUGAUCACCCACACGGGAACUGAGACUCGGCCCAAACUCCUACUGGAGGCAGCAUGGGGGAAUAUUGGACAAUGGGCGAACCCCUGAUCCAGCUUGCCGCGUGUGUGAAGAAGGUCUUCCGAUUGUAAACUACUUUAAGUUGGGAGGAAGGGCAGUAAACUAAUACCUUGCUGUUUUGACGUUACAGACACAAUAAGCACCGGUUAACUCUGUGCCAGCACCCGCGGUAAUACAGACGGUGCAAGCGUUAAUCGGAAUUACUGGGCGUAAAGCUCGCGUACGUGGUUUGUUAAGUUGGAUGUGAAAGCCCCGGGCUNNACCUGGGAACUGCAUCCCAAACUGGCAAGCUAUAGUACGGUAGAUGCUGGCGGAAUUUCCUGUGGAUCCNUGAAAUGCGUAGAUAUACGAAGGAACACCGANGGCCAAGGCGACCACCUGGACUGAUAUCUGACACUGAUGUGCGAUAGCGUGGGGAGCAAACCGGAUUGGAUACCCUGGUAACUCACGCCGUAUACGAUGUCUACUACCCUCUGGAAUCCUUGAGAUAUUACUGGCGCAUCUAACGCAUUAAAAUCGACCGCCUGGUGAAUACAGCCGCCAGGUAANACUCNNAUGAAUNGACUNGGGCUCGCACAAGNAGUGCAGCAUGUGGUUUAAUUCGAAUNACGACUAACACCUNACNNGCCUGNNCUGCAGAUNCUUUCCNGAGAUGNAUUGGUGCUUUCCGGAACUCUGACUCAGAGCUGCAUGCUUUCGUNACUCCNUCUGNCNNGUNNGUAGUCCAUCGA